Molecule: ribosomal RNA, 253 nt
Filed under: uncultured bacterium
Lineage: Bacteria
Description: partial 16S ribosomal RNA
Rfam family: Bacterial small subunit ribosomal RNA
Source: RNAcentral
UACGUAGGGGGCUAGCGUUGUCCGGAAUCAUUGGGCGUAAAGAGCGUGUAGGCGGCCCGGUAAGUCCGCUGUGAAAGUCGGGGGCUCAACCCUCGAAUGCCGGUGGAUACUGUCGGGCUAGAGUGCGGAAGAGGCGAGUGGAAUUCCUGGUGUAGCGGUGAAAUGCGCAGAUAUCAGGAGGAACACCGGUGGUGUAGACGGCUUUCUGGACCGUAACUGACGCUGAGACACGAAAGCGUGGGUAGCAAACAGG